This 508-nucleotide ribosomal RNA is filed under the name uncultured bacterium. Its description in RNAcentral is "bacterial SSU rRNA". It matches the Rfam family "Bacterial small subunit ribosomal RNA", at positions 17 to 518 of the family's 1533-position model. The record is from RNAcentral.
UCAUGGCUCAGAUUGAACGCUGGCGGCAGGCUUAACACAUGCAAGUCGAGCGGGAGGGUAGCUUGCUACCUUACCUAGCGGCGGACGGGUGAGGUAAUGCUUAGGAAUCUGCCUAGUUAUGGGGGACAACAUCUCGAAAGGGAUGCUAAUACCGCAUACGUCCUACGGGAGAAAGCAGGGGACCUUCGGGCCUUGCGCUAAUAGAUGAGCCUAAGUCGGAUUAGCUAGUUGGUGGGGUAAAGGCCUACCAAGGCGACGAUCUGUAGCGGGUCUGAGAGGAUGAUCCGCCACACUGGGACUGAGACACGGCCCAGACUCCUACGGGAGGCAGCAGUGGGGAAUAUUGGACAAUGGGGGGAACCCUGAUCCAGCCAUGCCGCGUGUGUGAAAAGAAGGCCUUUUGGUUGUAAAGCACUUUAAGCGAGGAGGAGGCUACCGAGAUUAAUACUCCUGGAUAGUGGACGUUACUCGCAGAAUAAGCACCGGCUAACUCUGUGCCAGCCGCCGC